This 2900-nucleotide ribosomal RNA is filed under the name Klebsiella pneumoniae. Its description in RNAcentral is "bacterial LSU rRNA". It matches the Rfam family "Bacterial large subunit ribosomal RNA". Lineage: Bacteria; Pseudomonadati; Pseudomonadota; Gammaproteobacteria; Enterobacterales; Enterobacteriaceae. The record is from RNAcentral.
UUAAGUGACUAAGCGUACACGGUGGAUGCCCUGGCAGUCAGAGGCGAUGAAGGACGUGCUAAUCUGCGAAAAGCGUCGGUAAGGUGAUAUGAACCGUUAUAGCCGGCGAUGUCCGAAUGGGGAAACCCAGUGCAAUUCGUUGCACUAUCGUUAACUGAAUACAUAGGUUAACGAGGCGAACCGGGGGAACUGAAACAUCUAAGUACCCCGAGGAAAAGAAAUCAACCGAGAUUCCCCCAGUAGCGGCGAGCGAACGGGGAGCAGCCCAGAGUCUGAAUCAGCUUGUGUGUUAGUGGAACGGUCUGGAAAGUCCGACGGUACAGGGUGAUAGUCCCGUACACCAAAAUGCACAGGUUGUGAACUCGAAGAGUAGGGCGGGACACGUGGUAUCCUGUCUGAAUAUGGGGGGACCAUCCUCCAAGGCUAAAUACUCCUGACUGACCGAUAGUGAACCAGUACCGUGAGGGAAAGGCGAAAAGAACCCCGGCGAGGGGAGUGAAAAAGAACCUGAAACCGUGUACGUACAAGCAGUGGGAGCACCUUCGGGUGUGACUGCGUACCUUUUGUAUAAUGGGUCAGCGACUUAUAUUCUGUAGCAAGGUUAACCGUAUAGGGGAGUCGCAGGGAAACCGAGUCUUAACUGGGCGUUAAGUUGCAGGGUAUAGACCCGAAACCCGGUGAUCUAGCCAUGGGCAGGUUGAAGGUUGGGUAACACUAACUGGAGGACCGAACCGACUAAUGUUGAAAAAUUAGCGGAUGACUUGUGGCUGGGGGUGAAAGGCCAAUCAAACCGGGAGAUAGCUGGUUCUCCCCGAAAGCUAUUUAGGUAGCGCCUCGUGAAUUCAUCUUCGGGGGUAGAGCACUGUUUCGGCUAGGGGGUCAUCCCGACUUACCAACCCGAUGCAAACUACGAAUACCGAAGAAUGUUAUCACGGGAGACACACGGCGGGUGCUAACGUCCGUCGUGAAGAGGGAAACAACCCAGACCGCCAGCUAAGGUCCCAAAGUCAUGGUUAAGUGGGAAACGAUGUGGGAAGGCACAGACAGCCAGGAUGUUGGCUUAGAAGCAGCCAUCAUUUAAAGAAAGCGUAAUAGCUCACUGGUCGAGUCGGCCUGCGCGGAAGAUGUAACGGGGCUAAACCAUGCACCGAAGCUGCGGCAGCGACACUAUGUGUUGUUGGGUAGGGGAGCGUUCUGUAAGCCUGCGAAGGUGUGCUGUGAGGCAUGCUGGAGGUAUCAGAAGUGCGAAUGCUGACAUAAGUAACGAUAAAGCGGGUGAAAAGCCCGCUCGCCGGAAGACCAAGGGUUCCUGUCCAACGUUAAUCGGGGCAGGGUGAGUCGACCCCUAAGGCGAGGCCGAAAGGCGUAGUCGAUGGGAAACAGGUUAAUAUUCCUGUACUUGGUGUUACUGCGAAGGGGGGACGGAGAAGGCUAUGUUAGCCGGGCGACGGUUGUCCCGGUUUAAGCAUGUAGGCUGAUUGUCCAGGCAAAUCCGGAUAAUCAAGGCUGAGGUGUGAUGACGAGGCACUACGGUGCUGAAGUAACAAAUGCCCUGCUUCCAGGAAAAGCCUCUAAGCAUCAGGUAACAUCAAAUCGUACCCCAAACCGACACAGGUGGUCAGGUAGAGAAUACCAAGGCGCUUGAGAGAACUCGGGUGAAGGAACUAGGCAAAAUGGUGCCGUAACUUCGGGAGAAGGCACGCUGGUGUGUAGGUGAAGUCCCUGCGGAUGGAGCUGAGACCAGUCGAAGAUACCAGCUGGCUGCAACUGUUUAUUAAAAACACAGCACUGUGCAAACACGAAAGUGGACGUAUACGGUGUGACGCCUGCCCGGUGCCGGAAGGUUAAUUGAUGGGGUUAUCCGUAAGGAGAAGCUCUUGAUCGAAGCCCCGGUAAACGGCGGCCGUAACUAUAACGGUCCUAAGGUAGCGAAAUUCCUUGUCGGGUAAGUUCCGACCUGCACGAAUGGCGUAAUGAUGGCCAGGCUGUCUCCACCCGAGACUCAGUGAAAUUGAACUCGCUGUGAAGAUGCAGUGUACCCGCGGCAAGACGGAAAGACCCCGUGAACCUUUACUAUAGCUUGACACUGAACAUUGAGCCUUGAUGUGUAGGAUAGGUGGGAGGCUUUGAAGCGUGGACGCCAGUCUGCGUGGAGCCAACCUUGAAAUACCACCCUUUAAUGUUUGAUGUUCUAACGUUGGCCCCUUACCGGGGUUGCGGACAGUGUCUGGUGGGUAGUUUGACUGGGGCGGUCUCCUCCCAAAGCGUAACGGAGGAGCACGAAGGUUAGCUAAUCCUGGUCGGACAUCAGGAGGUUAGUGCAAUGGCAUAAGCUAGCUUGACUGCGAGCGUGACGGCGCGAGCAGGUGCGAAAGCAGGUCAUAGUGAUCCGGUGGUUCUGAAUGGAAGGGCCAUCGCUCAACGGAUAAAAGGUACUCCGGGGAUAACAGGCUGAUACCGCCCAAGAGUUCAUAUCGACGGCGGUGUUUGGCACCUCGAUGUCGGCUCAUCACAUCCUGGGGCUGAAGUAGGUCCCAAGGGUAUGGCUGUUCGCCAUUUAAAGUGGUACGCGAGCUGGGUUUAGAACGUCGUGAGACAGUUCGGUCCCUAUCUGCCGUGGGCGCUGGAGAAUUGAGGGGGGCUGCUCCUAGUACGAGAGGACCGGAGUGGACGCAUCACUGGUGUUCGGGUUGUCAUGCCAAUGGCACUGCCCGGUAGCUAAAUGCGGAAGAGAUAAGUGCUGAAAGCAUCUAAGCACGAAACUUGCCCCGAGAUGAGUUCUCCCUGAGACUUUAAGUCUCCUGAAGGAACGUUAAAGACGAUGACGUUGAUAGGCCGGGUGUGUAAGCGCAGCGAUGCGUUGAGCUAACCGGUACUAAUGAACCGUGAGGCUUAACCUU